GUGAGGAAUAUUGCGCAAUGGAGGCAACUCUGACGCAGCCAUGCCGCGUGCAGGAAGAAGGCGCUACGCGUUGUAAACUGCUUUUAACCGGGAAGAAACCCCAGGACGUGUCCUGGGUUGACGGUACCGGAGGAAUAAGCACCGGCUAACUUCGUGCCAGCAGCCGCGGUAAUACGAAGGGUGCAAGCGUUAUCCGGAUUCAUUGGGUUUAAAGGGUGCGUAGGCGGAGCGUUAAGUCAGUGGUGAACUCCUGCAGCUUAACUGUAGACUUGCCAUUGAUACUGGCGCGCUUGAGUGCGCUUGAAGUGGGCGGAAUGUGCCGUGUAGCGGUGAAAUGCUUAGAUAUGGCACAGAACACCAAUUGCGAAGGCAGCUCACUAAGGCGAUACUGACGCUGAGGCACGAAAGCGUGGGGAUCGAACAGGAUUAGAUACCCUAGUAGUCC
This 445-nucleotide ribosomal RNA is filed under the name uncultured bacterium. RNAcentral describes it as "partial 16S ribosomal RNA". It matches the Rfam family "Bacterial small subunit ribosomal RNA", at positions 354 to 796 of the family's 1533-position model. The record is from RNAcentral.